UGAACGCUGGCGGCGUGCCUAAUACAUGCAAGUCGAGCGAACGGACGAGAAGCUUGCUUCUCUGAUGUUAGCGGCGGACGGGUGAGUAACACGUGGAUAACCUACCUAUAAGACUGGGAUAACUUCGGGAGACCGGAGCUAAUACCGGAUAAUAUUUUGAACCGCAUGGUUCAAAAGUGAAAGACGGUCUUGCUGUCACUUAUAGAUGGAUCCGCGCUGCAUUAGCUAGUUGGUAAGGUAACGGCUUACCAAGGCAACGAUGCAUAGCCGACCUGAGAGGGUGAUCGGCCACACUGGAACUGAGACACGGUCCAGACUCCUACGGGAGGCAGCAGUAGGGAAUCUUCCGCAAUGGGCGAAAGCCUGACGGAGCAACGCCGCGUGAGUGAUGAAGGUCUUCGGAUCGUAAAACUCUGUUAUUAGGGAAGAACAUAUGUGUAAGUAACUGUGCACAUCUUGACGGUACCUAAUCAGAAAGCCACGGCUAACUACGUG
Molecule: ribosomal RNA, 495 nt
Filed under: uncultured bacterium
Lineage: Bacteria
Description: partial 16S ribosomal RNA
Rfam family: Bacterial small subunit ribosomal RNA
Source: RNAcentral